AGAGUUUGAUCCUGCAGGAUGAACGCUAGCGGCAGGCUUAAUACAUGCAAGUCGAGGGGCAGCGCAGUGUAGCAAUACAUGGGCGGCGACCGGCAAACGGGUGCGGAACACGUACGCAACUUACCCAUAACUGGGGAAUAGCCCGGGGAAACCCGGAUUAAUACCUCGUAACCUAUUGAAGUGGCAUCACUUUAUUAGUAUAGAUUUAUUUCGGUUAUGGAUGGGCGUGCGCCUGAUUAGGUAGUUGGCGGGGUAACGGCCCACCAAGCCUUCGAUCAGUAACUGGUGUGAGAGCACGACCAGUCACACGGGCACUGAGACACGGGCCCGACUCCUACGGGAGGCAGCAGUAAGGAAUAUUGGUCAAUGGACGCAAGUCUGAACCAGCCAUGCCGCGUGAAGGAUGAAGGUCCUCUGGAUUGUAAACUUCUUUUAUGUGGGACGAAACCCGGAUAUUCUUAUCCGAUUGACGGUACCAUAGGAAUAAGCACCGGCUAACUCCGUGCCAGCAGCCGCGGUAAUACGGAGGGUGCAAGCGUUAUCCGGAUUCACUGGGUUUAAAGGGUGCGUAGGAGGGCAGGUAAGUCAGUGGUGAAAUCUCCGAGCUUAACUUGGAAACUGCCGUUGAUACUAUCUGUCUUGAAUAUUGUGGAGGUGAGCGGAAUAUGUCAUGUAGCGGUGAAAUGCUUAGAUAUGACAUAGAACACCAAUUGCGAAGGCAGCUUGCUACGCAUAUAUUGACUCUGAGGCACGAAAGCGUGGGGAUCAAACAGGAUUAGAUACCCUAGUAGUCC
This 794-nucleotide ribosomal RNA is filed under the name uncultured bacterium. RNAcentral's name for it is "bacterial SSU rRNA". It matches the Rfam family "Bacterial small subunit ribosomal RNA", at positions 1 to 796 of the family's 1533-position model. The record is from RNAcentral.